This 417-nucleotide ribosomal RNA is filed under the name Triticum aestivum (bread wheat). Its description in RNAcentral is "partial small subunit ribosomal RNA". The record is from RNAcentral. Lineage: Eukaryota; Viridiplantae; Streptophyta; Magnoliopsida; Poales; Poaceae.
AUGACCUCCGACACUGCACUCACAGCAUCUUAUGCUGAGUUUGUCACCGCACUUGGAUUUCUCGACACUGGGUUGAAAAUCCACACCAAUGACCCCAACCAUAAGCCCAAAGGCAUUGCGGUCUGUGCGGAUCUCCUUAGACCCAUAUCAUCUUUGUCUAGUACUGAAAAACAAAAGGGUCUAAAUCAAGUCUCCAUUUGGCAUUUUCCAUUCAACAUCAUUUAUCAGUGUGCCAUCCGCACCAUUUAUCCCAAGAUGGGUGACAAGGGCUCCUGCAGCAGCUACUGCAUUGAUCUCAUGCAUCGCCUCUACACAUCUCCUAAAGGGAAGAUAAAUGUUCCACACUUUCUAUGGCAUGAGAUUCGCCUUGCUAGCUUUCAGCACAAGCAGGCUUUCCCUCAUGCACCUUUUCUUUAG